Molecule: ribosomal RNA, 468 nt
Filed under: uncultured bacterium
Lineage: Bacteria
Description: partial 16S ribosomal RNA
Rfam family: Bacterial small subunit ribosomal RNA
Source: RNAcentral
GACGAACGCUGGCGGCGUGCUUAACACAUGCAAGUCGAACGGAAAGGCCCUGCUUUUGUGGGGUGCUCGAGUGGCGAACGGGUGAGUAACACGUGAGUAACCUGCCCUUGACUUUGGGAUAACUUCAGGAAACUGGGGCUAAUACCGGAUAGGAGCUCCUGCUGCAUGGUGGGGGUUGGAAAGUUUCGGCGGUUGGGGAUGGACUCGCGGCUUAUCAGCUUGUUGGUGGGGUAGUGGCUUACCAAGGCUUUGACGGGUAGCCGGCCUGAGAGGGUGACCGGCCACAUUGGGACUGAGAUACAGCCCAGACUCCUACGGGAGGCAGCAGUGGGGAAUAUUGCACAAUGGGCGGAAGCCUGAUGCAGCAACGCCGCGUGCGGGAUGACGGCCUUCGGGUUGUAAACCGCUUUCGCCUGUGACGAAGCGUGAGUGACGGUAAUGGAUAAAAAAGCACCGGCUAACUACGUG